GACGAACGCUGGCGGCGUGCUUAACACAUGCAAGUCGAACGGAAAGGCCCUGCUUUUGUGGGGUGCUCGAGUGGCGAACGGGUGAGUAACACGUGAGUAACCUGCCCUUGACUUUGGGAUAACUUCAGGAAACUGGGGCUAAUACCGGAUAGGAGCUCCUGCUGCAUGGUGGGGGUUGGAAAGUUUCGGCGGUUGGGGCUGGACUCGCGGCUUAUCAGCUUGUUGGUGGGGUAGUGGCUUUCCAAGGCUUUGACGGGUAGCCGGCCUGAGAGGGUGACCGGCCACAAUAGGACUGAGGUACGGCCCAGACGGCUACGGGAGGCAGCAGUGGGGAAUAUUGCGCAAUGGGCGGGAGCCUGAUGCAGCAGCGCCGCGUGCGGGAUGACGGCCUUCGGGUUGUAAACCGCUUUCGCCUGUGACGAAGCGUGAGUGACGGUAAUGGGUAAAGAAGCACCGGCUAACUACGUG
This 468-nucleotide ribosomal RNA is filed under the name uncultured bacterium. RNAcentral describes it as "partial 16S ribosomal RNA". It matches the Rfam family "Bacterial small subunit ribosomal RNA", at positions 28 to 507 of the family's 1533-position model. The record is from RNAcentral.